UAUUUGGUGCAGUGGAUAGUGCGCUCGCCUCUGGAGCCAUAGGUUGCAGGAUCGAUUCCCCCCUGGACAC
Molecule: non-coding RNA, 70 nt
Organism: Dallia pectoralis (Alaska blackfish)
Lineage: Eukaryota; Metazoa; Chordata; Actinopteri; Esociformes; Umbridae
Source: the annotation of a GenBank genome assembly